RNAcentral lists this long non-coding RNA (200 nucleotides) under Nicotiana benthamiana. RNAcentral's name for it is "long non-coding RNA (NBEN_LNC003495)". Lineage: Eukaryota; Viridiplantae; Streptophyta; Magnoliopsida; Solanales; Solanaceae. The record is from RNAcentral.
AAGUUUGAGGUUUAUGGCGCAUACUCAAAGAUAUGGGAGUAAGAAGAUGGUCUACUUGCCAUUCAAAUGGGGAAAGAAUUCGCCUAAUGGUGAAUUGGGAGUAUAGGAUGAAAUCUGGGUUCUUCUCAGAAUAUACAUGCUCAAUUUCAAUCGAAUCCGUAUCUACUAGAAUGGCCUCAUAGUAUAAACGGGUAUGCAGG